RNAcentral lists this ribosomal RNA (280 nucleotides) under uncultured bacterium. RNAcentral's name for it is "partial 16S ribosomal RNA". It matches the Rfam family "Bacterial small subunit ribosomal RNA", at positions 75 to 353 of the family's 1533-position model. The record is from RNAcentral.
CGUUGCAAACUGGAGAUGGCGACCGGCGCACGGUGAGUAACACGUAUCCAACCUGCCGAUAACUCGGGGAUAGCCUUUCGAAAGAAAGAUUAAUACCCGAUGGCAUAAUAGAACCGCAUGGUUUGAUUAUUAAAGAAUUUCGGUUAUCGAUGGGGAUGCGUUCCAUUAGGCAGUUGGUGGGGUAACGGCCCACCAAACCUUCGAUGGAUAGGGGUUCUGAGAGGAAGGUCCCCCACAUUGGAACUGAGACACGGUCCAAACUCCUACGGGAGGCAGCAUG